GUCCUCCCACUCCAUCUUAGAGCCCCAAGCUUUAGCCAUCCUUGGAGCUUGAUACUUUGAAGAGAAACGUGCGUGGUGCACUUGGGAAUCUCACUUAGUGCUGUAAGUGGAUCUUGAUUCCAUGUUUUCAUAUUUUUUUAUUGAUGCCUGUUUCUUUAGCUUAUCAAAGUGUGAAAUUUCAAGUAUGAAUAUGGAUGUAAUUGUGGAUAGGGAUGUGAUUGUGAAUAUGGAUGUGAUAGUGAAAAUGGAUGGGAUUGUGAAUAUGAAAUCUUGUUAUAUGUUCUCUGUUUUUUUAGAACUGUGACUCCCUUUUGUGUAAUUGUUUGAACAUUGAAAAUGUUUUUGUUAAUCUUGAAAUUUUGAAAUUGAAAAAGACCUCUUGCUAAUACCUAUCAUGGGUUGAAAGUUAUUAGCUAUUUUAUGAGGUAUGCCAGAAUAGUGAAAUGAAUUUUUAUAGACUGUAUAUGUUUUUGUGUGGGACUGUUCACUAACCAAAAUAUAUUAAUAUGAGGUCAAACUACUUCUAAAUGAAAGAUAAAUGAGUCUAUUUAAAAAAUGUUUUUGUAACCAUGAUAAAAUUUCAUGUGGAUUGGAAGUUAUGCUCUUUUUUUUAUGGGAAUGUCAUACUGGAUUUUCUCCUGUGAAAACAAGAAUUUUCUAGAACUGUGACUUCCAUUUGUGUGCUCGAUCGAGCAUCAAAAGGACCUCUGUUGAUCACAAAAUUUUGUGGAAAAGUAUCCUGUGGAGUCCAUUUUAAUAUGGAAAAGACCUUAUGUGAAUACCUCUUUUGGUUUGAAAAUUUUCAGUCAAUUUCUGAAGUAUGCCAUAAGGGUGAAAUGAAUUUCCAGGAACUCUGUAUGUUUUUGUAUUGCAUUGUUAACUGACCAAAAUAUGUUAGAACGAGCUCAAAACACUUUUAAAUGAAAUAUGUAUGAAUCUACUUUGAAAAUUGCUUGAGAAUUAUGAUCAAAUUCCCAGUGGUUUGAAAGUUAGGCCUGAUUUUCUAUUAAGAUAUCAUCAUGUAUUUUUUGCUGUGUAAGGCCAAAAGUUUCACUCAAGAUCACCAACAGUUUGGCAAGCUUUAGGCCAUUAUUUAAGGGCCAUUCCCCAAUCAAAAGUUGUGUUUUAAUGAGUCUAUAUUGUUAUAAAAGUGAUCCCGGGUCCAAAUUAUUUUUGAAUCCCAUGAUAUGCCUUUAAAGGUGGAUCCUGUUCACUGUAGAAAAACCAGAAAAAUGGUAUGAUGAUAUGAUGAAAUCUUUUGUGCUAAUGAGCCCGGGGGUCGGUUUAUAUGCAUUAUACGACAUGAUAAUGUCUUUCAAACUAAUAAGCAUGGUAAUAUGAUUUUAUGCAUGGCACGCUGAUGUUUUAAGCGAGCAUGGAAAUCUGUUGCUAAUGAGAAAUGUAUGUUAUAUUAUGAAUGCAUGCUUUGUUAUGAACACGAAUGCCUGCUCUAUUUUGAAUAUGAAUACAUGCCCUGUUAUGAUAAUAAAGUGUACUAUGUUAUAAUAUGGAAGCGUGCUCUGCUAUAAUUUGAAUGCAUGCAGUAAGACGUGCUUAGUGAUGAUAUGAAUGCAUAUAGUAAUACAUGCUCAGAUAUGAAAUGAAUACAUGACAAUAAGGCAUGCUCUGUUAUGAAAUGAAAGAAUGCUCUGUUGUGAUAGGAAAGCAUGAUAAUGAGAUAUGCUCUAUUAUGAUAUGUGUACAUGAUCAUGAUACAUGGUCCGUUGUGACAUGUGUGCAUGUUUUUUGAGACAAGUUAUGUGAUAUGUAAUAUGUGAUAGGACCUGUGUGGUUAGUUAUAUGAUAUGCGAUAUAUGAUAAGACCUGUGUGGUCAAUUAUGUGAUUUGUGAUAUGUGAGAAGACCUGUGUGGCAAGUUAUGCGAUAUGUGAUAGGACUUGUAUAGUUAGUCAUGUGAUAUGUGAUAUGUGAUAUGUGAUAAGACUUGUGUGGUCAGGUAUGUGAUAUGUGAUUUAUUGGCAUGCUUUGAGCAUAUUGCAUGACCAUGAUAUGCUAUGUGAUUUAUUGGCAUGUUUUGAGCGUAUGGCAUGAACAUGAUGUGAAAUGUUAUUUAUUGACAUGCUUUAAGCGUAUUGCAUGACCAUGAUGUGAUAUGUGAUUUUAUUGGCAGGCUUUGAGCGUAUUACAUGACCAUGAUGUGACGUAUGAUCUCUUAGCAUGCUUUGAGCAUAUUGCAUGACAAUGAGGUGAUAUGAUAAGAAAGUGGUGCUGGCUAUUGUGAUCUUUC
This 2247-nucleotide long non-coding RNA is filed under the name Amborella trichopoda. Its description in RNAcentral is "long non-coding RNA (ATRI_LNC001706)". The record is from RNAcentral. Lineage: Eukaryota; Viridiplantae; Streptophyta; Magnoliopsida; Amborellales; Amborellaceae.